UGGAAGACUACAACUAGAACUAUGCUACAUCUACUCCUAGGGCAGGAAAAGUAAAUAAGGUAAUUGGUUCGAUUGGAAUGUGUUCGGGGGUUCUCAAUCGGCCAUACCCCUUUAUAUUUAUAGGGGAGGAGGUCUGGACCUUUUCCUAAGAGAUAGCCAACAAACUCCCACGUGAUUAGAUGGAUAACCACGCACGAGAUAAGGAUAAACAUCUAAGUUAAUCUAAUCUUGGGACACGCGGACCGUCCGGGCCCAAGGGCCGGACCGUCCGCUCAUUUUGGUGUCCAACAUAUGCCCCCCUGCCUUUUGGUGGAGCUUGGCGAACCAAAAGCAUCAGCGAAAACUUCGGAAACAAUUGACCUCAUGAGCUUUUGUUCCCGAAGUAAGGACUCAGCUCGAUGCAAGUCAUCGGCUCUUGCGAUCAGAUAAUAUAAAUACUUGAUGGAACUUUAAUGCACAGAGGCCGUUUCGGAUCGCAGCCUCUUCGACCAUGUCUACCUGACCAACCUGUCAAUAGGCAAAAACUUGUGGUGCCCCCCAGCCCAAAUAAGCAAACAGAUUGGGCCAGUAAUACGAAUUCAUCGCCGUACCACCCCACACAUGAGCAGGACAACAUAUCGGCGAUGGAUAGAACGGGACGCACCAUGCUAUCCCCGGAGGAGGAUGACAAGGCGAUCUUGGUUGUGCUACCCUUUGGGUCCGUUUAGUCGGCUUUUGCUUUCGCACAUGUCGCCCUUUUGACUUCGUUUGUUUUAUUGGCCGGUUGUGUGGAACGGCCUUCUUCAUAUAUUUGGCAAGCAACUGACCAAAAGUAGGGUCGACUCUACUGAGUCGUCCAGACGUCUUAGUAGUGUUUUGUUUCCUAACACUUGUGUUGGAACGUUGUGGUCCGAUGGUCUGAGGUUGCUGCUUCUGACCAUCUGCAGACCGUCCGACCAUCAUAGCCGGACUGUCCGCGCCUGUCUCGGACUGUUCGGCCUUAGUACCCGGAUCGUCCGGCGUACGCAGGAUAGGUGACCGUGAUCGGGUGUCCGAUCGUGCUUGCCCCCCGGUGCCUCCGGUCUUUCUUUUGUCCGAAGCCUUCAGAGUAACCAUUCUGCGUGACAUAUUUGGUGUGAGAGGAUCACCAAUGACGAUAUUUUUAUUUUUACUUUUAUCGGCCGCACAAGGCCGAAUUAUGGCCUUUUUGCUCGUUGGCUCUAAUGUGGUGAUAGGAACAGGUGGUCUGUCAAUUUUCACCUCUUUUUGAAACCUCAACCGGCCUUCGUUUAUAGCCGAUUGUAUUUGCCGACGGAAGACGGCACAACCAUUGGUGUUGUGGAGAAAGAAGCCAUGCCAUUUGCAAUAAACGCGCCCUUUUAAUUGUUCAACCGGAGGAAUUAUAUGUGACAAUUUAAUAUUACCAUGUUUAAGCAACUCAUCAAAUAUUUUAUCACAUUUAGUAAUAUUAAAUGUGAACUUAACUUUUUCCUUUUGUGUCGAGUGCGGGUGAGGGCGAACAGAAGGUUUAGCCUUAGUGGGCCAAACAAGCUCAGGGACAUGUGACUUUUUUAGUUCUUGGGGCUUGGGUGGCCGAUUAUUUUAUGUCGGCCUUCCGCACUAGGCGGAUCACAGGUGACUUCUGGUGCUCCGGACGGUCCGACCUGCACAGUCGAACGGUCUGCAGGUGGAUCGGACGGUCCGGUACUAUCCUCGGACUGUCCGGUCACGUCAGGCAACACCUGUGACCCUUGUUGUGGGCUCUGUGUAACUCCGGACGGUCCGGCGUAGGGUGCCGGACGGUCUGACGGAGGGCCGGACGGUCCGCUAUUGUGUGCGGACGGUCCGACCGCGCUUAGAGUUGACUCACCAUUUAGUGAAGAUGGUGGUGACGGUCAUCCUGGAUAUGAGUCCAUCGGCAUACUAGAGUAUGGCUGGGGAAACCCAUUUGUUGCCGAUGUGUGUUGGCGCAAUUGUUUUGGCGCCUAAUUUAUGUGAUAAAAAAACUAGGCAUGUGAGUUUUUCCUAAUGCAUGCGCCAUCCUUUCUAUAUCCUCUGUGAUACUUUUAAUCCGAUUAUCAAAAGAAAUUUUAAUAGAUGGAAUAUCAUCGACUGACCUGGCAUCACCUAUUGUGGGGAGCUGUUGCAGCACAGAUGACAUGUAAUCGACGUCUAUUUCCCUUUCUUGGACGGUCUUCUGGUGGCAAUCCACCCUGAAGUGCGAGAGGAACCAUUUAUCCGCCACCUUGAGCACCUGAUCUUUUUGUCGUUGGACCUCCUCGUCUAUUUUCUUCAUGUCAUCUUUUAAUCUUUUAUGCUCAGCGGCCGAUAAAUUAGUCAGCCUUGUGCUGCUGUUUGGAGAAGCCCUGUUGAGAUCUUUAGAAUCGACCAUAUAAGCCUGAUUUUGUAGAUCUUCAACCUCGUCCCCAGCGGAGUCGCCAAAAGUAUGUUGGUGCCUUUUUGGGGGCGCCAAUCACUCAAUACGAACCGGCGGCGGUGCUCUCUGGUCAGGCGCGGACGGUCCGCGGCACAGGGCCAGAUGGUCCGCGACUUGGCGCGAGGCUAGGAUUCCCUGCCUGACGGCCGGACAGUCCACGCUCUAGGGCCGGACGGUCCGCGACCUGGCGACAUGGUCGUCUUCCUCCUCCUUGCUGGAAUCUAGAUCUCGUCCCCUGGGGGGAAAAGAUCUUAAGGUGCUCUGGGUCGAUAGAUCACCCGGGGCGUCCCCAGACGACAUGGAGCCGCAUAGGAAUUAAGAGAUCAAUUCUAGGAAGAGAUCUUGGAUGGACAACUAGAUCUUGCCCCCGGGAGGGGUGAGAUCCUAGGAUUGUCUUGGGAUCGGCAGGCCACCCAAGACGGAUCUAGACGACGUAGAGUUGAAUAGGGAUGGAGGUGGAUAUGUGGAAGACUACAACUAGAACUAUGCUACAUCUACUCCUAGGGCAGGAAAAGUAAAUAAGGUAAUUGGUUCGAUUGGAAUGUGUUCGGGGGUUCUCAAUCGGUCGUACCCCUUUAUAUUUAUAGGGGAGGAGGUCUGGACCUUUUCCUAAGAGAUAGCCAACAAACUCCCACGUGAUUAGAUGGAUAACCACGCACGAGAUAAGGAUAAACAUCUGAGUUAAUCUAAUCUCGGGACACGCGGACCGUCCGGGCCCA
This 3135-nucleotide long non-coding RNA is filed under the name Zea mays. Its description in RNAcentral is "long non-coding RNA (ZMAY_LNC000600)". Lineage: Eukaryota; Viridiplantae; Streptophyta; Magnoliopsida; Poales; Poaceae. The record is from RNAcentral.